AGUAACCAGGUGUGUCCUGACGUACAGGACAAAGGUGAGGUGAGGUAUGCCGCUGCUGUGUACAUAUACGUGCCCGACGUUUUUAUUGCAGCAUAAUUUAGGGAACCCGUCGACCAAGAGCGUACGUGCGAGAUUUUAAAGAAAGCAGACCUACUUUCAAGAUGUGGCCACGACCUUAAGGACGCUAUCUACUUGAAGACGAGUUGGUUACUGAUUGAACAUCUUGUAUAGGUUACUCCAGCGGUACUUUAACAGUGAGACUCUUUGAGGAAGUAAAAGGACUGAAAAAAAGGUAGGCCAAGAUGGCGGGUAACAUUCAUGACGACUUCCACAGCCAACUGCUGGCUGGUGAGCGAGAGGAACCGAAGUGGAUGAGGAAGAAGCCGCAGCUCACUGUCCUAACGGACAGCGUGGCCAAGGACGAGUCGUCUGAUGGCACCGAGGUGCACAUGUGUCUGAAGGUGCUGAAGCUAGUACUGUCCAUCUUUGUGGGGUGCGCCUUGCUGGCUUGCCUGGUCUCCACCAAGGUUACGACGAUCAUCAUAGCACAGUCUUUGGCUGAAAAUUGGAACGCAACUAACGCUACGUCUGAAGACAACUUGAACUGGGUCGGUUCGGAGUUAGACGUGAAAAGAGAGACGGCCAUAGUUGCCCUGACCAUCAUCAUCAUGAUGCCGUACCUGCUCACCUUCAUCAGGUGUGUGUGGCGAGGCAGGUGGGGCAAGAACACACCUUGGCCGACCCGGGAGGCACUGCUCUUCGGUGUUCUGACAGCCGUGUUGGAGGUGGUGGGUCUGACGAUGUUCACGGUUGUGGUGAUGGCCCUCGCCCGGAGGUCUCUCAGCAUCGUCCUCAUGAACAGCAUCUUCCUCAUACCCUCCAUGGUCCAGAUCUACCGGCACUCCUCGGCCGUAAAGGGAUGCGCAACGACACUUAAAGAGGGGUGUAAGCAAGCUGGAAACUUCAUGCUUAACACUUUGGCAAUGUUGCUGGCAGCAGGAUCACUGGUGGCAGUGUUGGCUGUGGAGAUCGAUAAUCCCAACAAACAAUGGCAACAGCUUGUGGCGAUCCCCGUGUCUCUGCUGUGCCUCUCCUUCGCAUGGCUGCCGACCUUCCAAGAGGUGCAGACGAUCCAUGCCUUGGAUGAUGAUGAUGAGGAUGAAACCCUGACCAACAAGGCCACCCCGGGAGCGCAGAACGAGGAUGUCAUGAGCAUGCCCACUACCUACAACGUCAACCGCUUGAGGCAGAGUCGUAUCAGUACGACCAUGAGGAAGCUGUCGACCUUAGCACCACCAGUUCGACCCAAGGCAAGAAUGCCUGAUGAAGAGCCAGCCCCAGAAACAACACAGAUGGUGGUCGACGUUGAUCCACUUCCAGUGGAAAGUGCUAGGUGGCGCUGUGGCAUCAUCACAAACUUCCUGAAGCUGCUGCUGACGUUCCCAAUGGUUCUGCUGUGGUAUGUCACUUUCCUGCAAGCUAACCCAUACUCGUUUUGGGACCACUCCAAAGAAAUAUAUGACGGGAUCAUUAACGACAACAGGAUUUUUGUAUCCUUCAUCGUCAACCUGUCGGCUGGUUUCGGUGCCAACCUGUUGGCCUGGAUGGCGUGCUCUAUCAGGAUGGACGUCAUCGGAUUUGUCAUGCCCCUUCUACUGUCCCCCGUGUUCACAGGGCUGUACACCUACAUCAAGGAACUCUGUCUCUUUCCUCUCUUCGGACUGUAUAUUUCUGACAAGGAUUGGCCUGACAUGAUGUGUGAAUUCCAAGUACGAGACGAACUAGACAGAUGGUGGACUGGUGUGGCUGUCAUGAUUGUCGGGUAUUUCACCAUGUUCAUCACCUCAGUGCGGUUCCUCUUCAGGAGCUCUGCUACCAUCAUGGAGAAGGAAGAAAAGCUGUUCUGGUUGCCAGGAUACAACACCAUCUUCCCGGACCAGUGGCUCAUGUUGUCGCGCCGUAACAAGGACACCAGCCCGGAGCUCUAUGAGAGAUCGACACGCAGCAUGAAGAACACAAGAGUCUACAUCUGCACAACUAUGUACCGCGAGAAUGAACAGGAGAUGCAGCAGUUGUUACAGUCCAUCCGGGGUAUCGCAGAGGCUCAGGGUCCAGAGCGUCAGUACGAGUCUCACAUCUUCUUCGAUGGCGGGUGUCAGAAAGGCCAGCCCACAGAGUUUGCCCUGCAGCUGCUGUCACUGACAGACAAGACCAUGGGCUGCACCAAAGAGAAGAAAGGCAUCCUGCGUCAGGCGCAUAAGUGGGCGACCCCAUACGGACUACAGGUGGAGUGGCGGCUGAAGCUGGCUGCCGACAGUCACCGGGAGACGCGCUUCUGUAUCCAUCUCAAGGACAACAGCAAGGUCCGUAACAAGAAGCGAUGGAGCCAGGUCAUGUACAUGUCCUAUGUACUGGAUCAUCUGGUGUAUUAUAGUCCCUUGGGUAUGGAGUCUGGGGCGGUCAAGGACAGGGAGAUUUUGGCCAGCAGUGAAGACAAGGACCAUCAGGCCAAAUGUGCUCGUCUGAACAGCUCCAACUGCUGGAGGACUGAGGGCCACACCGGCCAGACCCACCAGUUUCUGGAGGUGGAUCUAGGUGAGGAGACGGUGGUUACUGGAGUGUCCACCCAGGGGAACCCUAAUGAGAAUGAGUGGGUGGAGAGGUACAGGGUUUCCUACAGGAAGGACAAGGAUGACUUGUGGGAGUACUGCAAGAACAGUGCCAACAGUGACAUGAUAUUCAACGGGAAUGUGGACAACACUACUACAGUCACCCAGCUGUUUCCAACUCCAGUCACUGCACGUUACAUCCGCAUUGAACCGGAUGGUGUCCACGGCCAAUUGGCUUUGCGUGCAGAAAUCCUUGGCUACAGCAGUGAAGAGAGGGACCGUGAUAGCUACAUCCUCUGCACGGAUGCUGACGUCAAAUUCUCCGCGAAGGAUGCCAACGCUCUGCUCGAUGUCAUCACCCGAGAUCCGGCCGUUGGCGCUGUGUGUGGAAGGACUCAUCCCACUGGGUCUGGACCAAUGGUGUGGUACCAGAUCUUCGACUACGCUAUUGGCCACUGGUUUCAAAAGACUGCCAACGACACCCUGGGUACAGUUCUGUGCUGCCCAGGCUGCUUCAGUGUGUACCGAGCCAAGGCCGUGCGGGAGGCUGUGAAGACCUACGCCUCGAAAGUGGACAAGGCAGACGAGUUUCUAACCAAGGACAUGGGAGAGGAUCGCUGGUUCUGUACCCUUUUGGUUGAGCGUGGUUGGCUGCUGAGGUACACGGCUGUGGCAGAAGACACCACCUACUGUCCCGAGGAGUUUGAUGAGUUCUUCAAGCAGCGGCGCAGAUGGACUCCAUCUACCAUCGCCAACCUGGUGCUGUUGAUCCGUACGUGGGGCGAGGGACGAAUGAAGAACCAGAACGUCUCCGUUUUCUUCAUCUUCUACCAGGCCUGUCUGCUGUUCUCCACUCUCAUUGGUCCAGCCACAUGCAUCCUUAUCGUCUCAGGUGGUGUGGAGUACGUGUUUGCAUACUUCACCUACACUCCACUGUUCAUCCAGCUGGCUGCCUGUCUCCUGUAUGCCUGGUGCUGCCUCAACACCUCACAGUCCUUCCAACUACUGCUUGCCAAGGGCCUGACUCUCAUCUACGCCCUCGUCAUGACAUUGGUUGCCAUAGGAACAGCCAAACAGAUUGUCGUGGCCUUCAUCACUAACUCCUCAGCCAGUGGGUUGCCGCAGCGCAUCAUAGCCUGUCCGACGGAAGCUAACAAACUACUCCAGUGUCCUGACAGCCUUGUCCUUAACAUCACCAACGCAACCUACGGAAGAUCUGACCCAUACACGUGCUCAGAUGUGUCCACAGUCUGGAGCUCUAUCUACUGCCCAGAGUACUUUGCUGAGGCAUACAGCCAUGCCGCGACCAAGAAGGUUCUUGAGGACAAAAAUCUUUUCAACUGUAAAGCAAAGGAAAGCUGCAACCUCAUUGCCUCCUCUGAAUACUUUCCCGCAAAUAUAACCAUGGAAGCGUGGUGGAAGAAAAAGCUGAAGAGCCUUCGGACCAGUCCUACCAACCAGUCGGAUCCCUCCCAACCAUCCCGAUGGAAAAGAAAUGCCCCAGAGUUGAGGGCAGGCAGUACUCCACUUCCUAUGACUACACAACUUCAACCCACAGCUACACCCACAGCUACACUCGCAGCUACAGCUACACUCGCAGCUACACCCACAGCUACACUCGCAGCAACACCCACAGCUACACUCGCAGCUACACCCACAGCUACACUUGCAGCUACACCCACAGCUACACUUGCAGCUACAUCCACAGCUACACUCGCAGCUACACCCACAGCUACACUCGCAGCUACAGCUACACUCGCAGCUACACCCACAGCUACACUCGCAGCUACACCCACAGCUACACUCGCAGCUACACCCACAGCUACACUUGCAGCUACACCCACAGCUACACCCACAACUCCGGAUCCACCCACAACUCCACUCAAACCUACCGACCCCCCUCCUCCAGACUGCUCCUCGGUUUACCUGGAGGUCUUCUAUCGAUGCAGACGACCCAGCGGCUUCGACUUUACCGUGGACAUUCCAGCCAACAUCACAGUACUCUACUUCCUCUGUCUCAUUGGAAUCUUCAUAGUGACAGCAUUGGUCCAUCCUUCUGAGUUCUACUGUGUGCUCCACGGCAUUUGGUACCUGUUUUGUCUUCCUGGAGGUUACCUGAUUCUGAUGAUCUACAGCAUUUGUAACAUGACUGACAGAUCAUGGGGAACACGUGAACAAAAAACCUUCAAGACAGGAGGAGGAGGAGGGGGAAGCUGGUUUGACAACUUGAUGGAGAAACUUCGCCAUCUUUGUACCAGCUGCUGUCCCUGGUGCCGACCUGGAGGUGGCUACCAACGCCUCCCGACUUCCGAGCGCGUGAGCGUCGCUAGCACGGCCGCCUCACAAUCAGACGUGGAGGACGACACUGCUGAUGAGGGGGAGGGAGAGACUGACAGUAAGGAGGAGGAAGGCGCGAAGCCAGCAGCCGAUGCUGAUGAGAUACAGGUGGAGGAACAGUCAACCGAGAAGCGACAGAAAUCUGUCGGGUUCACCACACCUGAUGAUCAUGAUGAUGAUGAGGAGGAGGAUCAACCAAGGUCUUUGAAGAGGAAGAAGACUCCGUGGAUUUCAGGAAGGGGUCCGGCUGCCCGCCGCAUCGGCAGUCGGCGUCAAACGAGAACCAGGAGGUAUUCGCAGUACUACAGCAAGGCAGACGUCGUCGUACCUGUACGUGGCUGGUUGGAGAGGUACUUCCCGCGCUGGAAGGCUGAGCUUAAGGACAAGUUGGAAGAGUUCUUCACAAUUCAUGGCUAUGAUGACACCAGCUUUAUUUCUGGCAUGAAGGACCAGGACCUGAUUGACAUCGGCAUGGAAGGAGAUGAGUACAGUUUCCACCGCGUGAAGCUCAUGGGUGAAAUCAAGAAACUCCCAGAGUACAUUGCAGAUUACAAAGUGCCGGAAAACACUCGUGAAUGGCUAAAGUCCAUUGGUCUGCCUCACUACGCAACAAACUUUGAAGACAAGGACGUGGUGACCAAGUGGGACCUGGCUAUCAUCAAGUCCAUGAAAGUAACUGAACUCAACGAGAGGUACGGCAUCACCAAGAAAGCCCAUGUCAAGCGCGUCAUGAAUUCUCUGAAGAACAUGAGAAACCCGAAUGAACGUGAGGCUGACAUUGAGAGGGUGAGGUUCAUCGUGGACCAGCUGGAGCCCAAAGCCAUGUUGGACGCGACGUCGUCCCGGCUGAGAGAAGCUCUGUUCUGGGAGGCGCUCAGGGCGCAGUGUCUGGAUCCAGAACUCACCACUUUCAACGAGGUGGACGAACUCAAGCAAGCACUCGUGGAUCUGCGGAACGGUUGGCUGAUGGUCUUUGCCGUUGCCAAUGCCAUCUGGCUCACCCUCAUCCUGGUCCUCACACAACAAUCCGAACUGGCUGUCCUGGGUUCUAAUCCCAUCGGCCUGGCAACGGCGCUGUGCUUUGGUGUCAUCCAGGCCGUCCAGUUCCUGGCCAUGUUGUUCCACCGCGGCCUCACCCUGAUGCACCACACUGCUCGGAUACCCUACCCGACACGGCGUCCAACCUUCAAGGACAAGACAAGGAAGGGCGGUGAGAGGCUGAGCGUCCAGGCCAUACCCACCAGGGGAGAUGUGACGUACAACAAUUCAGUAACUCAUCGACAAAACGGUGUGGCGUACUUUAACCGUGCCUUCUCAUACGAUGAGGAUGAAAGAGAAACAGUUCCAAAGGUGUGAUGGGAAGGUUCUAACAUUCAGGAAGGACAAAAAGAUAGGCUCACUCCAACAAAUGAAGUACUUAGUCUAGUAUUAGUGGAACUCUUAAGUAUACUUAUCAAAAGAGCAGGGGUCCUUCCCAGUGUAAGUGGUUCAAACCUUACAGUCUUGUCUUGGAUGAAGAGUCUUGAAAAGGUGAUAGUCACCUGUUGUGUAAAUCCUUCCACAAAUGUGGUAAAUCGAAAUAAAUUAGGCAUAAAUUUGGAUACUCUGUGGAUUAUCUACUUGACAGAUGAGAGGGCGGUCCCAGAGUGGUUAUUUCUGGUCAUACCGUAGUUGGUAUUUUCUUCUUUAUGUAUGAUAGUUAUUGCUUUAUUCCAGUUUAUUACAAAUAUUUGAGUAUUGAUUUAAUUAACAGAUGAUCCCGAACCUCCUGAAAUUAGUAAUAAAGUCGAGAGAUGUAUUAAAGUUGAGAUAAAUGAAUAAAUCAGCUGAAUGAUAGAUGAGCUAAGUUGGAUUUUGAUGGACUUAUUUACAUAAGGACUGUAGGAGGUAUAAAGAACACAAAUGUUUGCCAUCAUUGUACUUAACCAAGCAAACUUGGUUUUAUGGAUAAUGUCUUAGAUAAUGCAAAAUAUGAUGGAAUAAGUUCAGCUCACUUCUUAGUUUUAUGGCAACAAAUUGUAAGAAAUAAACUCUUUGUUAACUUGCUGCAGUGUACAUGUAUAUAUGAUGGAAUGGAUGUACUUAAUCGUGUCAUUGUCUUAUAAUGAUUCUUUUACAUAGAAUCUGCAAACUAGAUCAGAAUGAAAGUUUUUGCUUAUUUUUUUUUAAACUAGAUAUGGAGAAUAUCCUGAAGGUAGUCAACAUCUUGACAUGCAUGAUACAAGUUUAUGUUGGGUCGCUUGUUCCCUUUGAAGCUUAGAAUGUUUGUUACACAUACUUUGCAAGCAGCAACUGUAUACAGUGAUUCUAAUAGGUGGAUCAUAAUUCUAUGCUUGCUUGAAGUGAUAGCUGUUGUAAAGCUACUGAGAAGAAUAUUAUUUUGAAUAAUAUUCAAUGUGUUUUAGUCCCUCUCGCUGACUUUAAAAUGUGUGGGUGUAUUGUGUACAAAAUGCAGCCACUGUGGUGUUAUACUGUGAGAGGUAAGAGUGAUGCUUUAGUUCAAUUUGUAGAAGACAGCAGUUUGCCCUACAGGUUGUCUAUCCGACUCUAACGUCUAUUAUUUUUCAAAUUUAUUCUUCAUUGGAUAGCUUUAAACAAUGUUUUUUGAGUUGACAGGACUGACUGAGUGUACUUGCUCCAGUUAAGUGCGCUGUGCUCAGUACCUAUUUGACACGAAAUAAAGUUUUUUUA
RNA transcript from Branchiostoma belcheri (Belcher's lancelet), 7637 nucleotides. RefSeq lists it as uncharacterized. The transcript is spliced from 36 exons. The record is from RefSeq and is a predicted model, not a curated record. Lineage: Eukaryota; Metazoa; Chordata; Leptocardii; Amphioxiformes; Branchiostomatidae.